AACGAACGCUGGCGGCAGGCCUAACACAUGCAAGUCGAGCGCGUAGCAAUACGAGCGGCGCACGGGAUAGUAACGCGUGGGAACCUACCUUUCGGUUCGGAAUAACAUCGGGAAACUGGUGCUAAUACCGGAUACGCCCUUCGGGGGAAAGAUUUAUUGCCGAUAGAUGGGCCCGCGUUGGAUUAGCUAGUUGGUGAGGUAACGGCUCACCAAGGCAACGAUCCAUAGCUGGUCUGAGAGGAUGAUCAGCAUCACUGGGACUGAGACACGGCCCAGACUCCUACGGGAGGCAGCAGUGGGGAAUAUUGGACAAUGGGGGCAACCCUGAUCCAGCCAUGCCGCGUGAAUGAUGAAGGCCUUCGGGUUGUAAAGUUCUUUUGGUGGGGACGAUGAUGACGGUACCCACAGAAUAAGCUCCGGCUAACUUCGUGCCAGCAGCCGCCGCCG
This 447-nucleotide ribosomal RNA is filed under the name uncultured bacterium. RNAcentral's name for it is "partial 16S ribosomal RNA". It matches the Rfam family "Bacterial small subunit ribosomal RNA", at positions 29 to 523 of the family's 1533-position model. The record is from RNAcentral.